Long non-coding RNA from Musca domestica (house fly), 1603 nucleotides. RefSeq lists it as uncharacterized. The transcript has 2 exons. The record is from RefSeq and is a predicted model, not a curated record. Lineage: Eukaryota; Metazoa; Arthropoda; Insecta; Diptera; Muscidae.
AAUCCAACAGUCGGUACCCUGACUGCAAACCGAGAAGCACUGAUGGGCACGGUUUACGUAAAACCCCAGCGUUAAGGGGUCUUAAUCUUCGGUAGACCAACACCGAUCACUUGAUAGUUUGAGGCGCCAGUUGUUCGUCUCGUCGAACCAGGGAUCAUGGGCACUCGGAUAUUUGUUCCGAGACUCACCCCCCGGUACCGCUGAGUUGUCCGCGACUGCUUAUUUAUUCGCAGCUGCCUAAUAUAUCUGUUGGACGUCUUACGAUCCGCAACCUGUGGACGCGUCCGGUAGCAUCCAGCUAUGCUUCCGAUAAUCGGCCGGAGGCUUUAACCCGAGCUCAUUUUUCAAUAUUUGCCGAAUGGAAUAUUGCGAUAUGUUUAGCUCACGAGCCAUUUUUCGGCCACUGCGACGCGGGUUUCGAUUAAGUCGUUUCUUUACUUUUCGAACCAUUUCGCUGAUGUUGCUGUUUUCUUCCGUCCACUACCUUGACGUCGAGCUACGAUACCGGUAUGACGGUAACGGGCGAUGGUAUGAGACACAAAAGAUUUAUUCACAUUUUACUGCUGGAGUGCGCUAACGCUAGCCACUUGUGCUUUUUCAGCCAAAUAUAAAGAAAUCAGACCAUCACGCUUGAUAUCCAUCACGAAUAACGUUUUUUCUCAAAAGUUCUCACCAAAAUGCUAUUGUUCGGUUGUAAACCAUAUAAUGAGCUGUCACUGGAAUAAUUUUCAUAGCUGUUUGACGAGUGGCUUAGAAAUGACAGCAGCCUGAAGUUUAUUGCAAUUUUCUCAUCCCACCCUGUAAAAAAAACUGAGGGAAAAUGUUUUUUUUCACAAUUCAUUUGUUUAUUUACUAUACAUCUCUUUUUCAAUUUCCACAGCGGAACCCUUUACAAUUUGAGCGAGUUUUUGUUAUAGUACCCCAUUUAAACAGAAAUGGUACGAUAAAACAUCCAAACAAAACAGAAACUAUGACAAAAUAUUGGAAAAGGUGCUUCUCUAGCAUAGUGUUGUUCGAAGACAGCUCCAAAGUUGUGAUUCUUCUUAAAUGUUGACUCCCACUGACAGGCAAGUUGGAAAUCUUCGUUACGGACUUGAUGCAUAUCUUUUGCACACAGCCCUCCAGAGGUCUGGAAGUAGUCAUAGCCAUAAAUAUAAAAUACAAAACCACAGAUUUGCCAAUUCAAUCAGAGACAUAAAUAAAUUCAAUUACAAAGAACACUGAUCCAAUCGAUAAGAAGUCAGUUGUUGUUGCGUAGGCCUCGAUGAGAUCACAUUUAAUUCACCGCGUAUUUAAGUAACAAAUAUUUAUCUGAAAAACAAUGAAAUUAUUCAGUUCUCUCUCCAGUGUAUUAUUAUUUUGUACUAUCCUAUCUGGAUGUGUUAUCAGUUCGCGUGCCAGACCCGAAAGCAUAGUUAGAUAUAACUGUUGCACAUUUACAUGCGGUAUCGCCUGUCAUGGUUAAUAAGGCGCAUUCACACUUUUUAGGGCAGAUCUUCAACGCUGGGUCAUUGUCAGCAAGUGUAUUUCUUUUUUCUCAAAUAAUGUAAUAAAUUAUGUAGAAACUUAUGGCAUAAAAAUAAAUAACUAAUCAAAACCAUAA